GUGAAUCAUCGAAUCUUUGAACGCACCUUGCACCCCACGGCUUUCCGUGGGGUACGCCCGUUCGAGUGUCACGUUAACCAUCGGGAGGGUUCAGCUCGCUGAACUCUCGCGGACUUGGACGUUGCCGGCGAAAGUCGGCUCGUCUCGAAAUGCAUUAGCUAGAGUGCUCGCAGGCACGGCGUUGAUAACUUCUACGUCUUGACUUCGGACUCCCUGCUUCCAAUCGUCUUCGGACAAUUUCACAAAGUUUGACCUCGAAUCGGGUGGGACUACCCGCUGAACUUAAGCAUAUCAAUAAGCGGAGGA
This 306-nucleotide unclassified non-coding RNA is filed under the name Auriculariales sp. RNAcentral's name for it is "partial contains 5.8S ribosomal RNA, internal transcribed spacer 2, and large subunit ribosomal RNA". The stretch from base 1 to 71 matches the Rfam family "5.8S ribosomal RNA", at positions 84 to 154 of the family's 154-position model. Lineage: Eukaryota; Fungi; Basidiomycota; Agaricomycetes; Auriculariales. The record is from RNAcentral.